UACAGAGGGGGCAAGCGUUGUUCGGAAUUACUGGGCGUAAAGGGCGCGUAGGCAGCCUUCUAAGUCGAACGUGAAAUCCCUGGGCUCAACCCAGGAACUGCGUCCGAUACUGGAAGGCUUGAAUCCGGGAGAGGGAUGCGGAAUUCCAGGUGUAGCGGUGAAAUGCGUAGAUAUCUGGAGGAACACCGGUGGCGAAGGCGGCAUCCUGGACCGGUAUUGACGCUGAGGCGCGAAAGCCAGGGGAGCAAACGGG
This 253-nucleotide ribosomal RNA is filed under the name uncultured bacterium. RNAcentral describes it as "partial 16S ribosomal RNA". It matches the Rfam family "Bacterial small subunit ribosomal RNA", at positions 524 to 776 of the family's 1533-position model. The record is from RNAcentral.